CCUAGCUAUUGUAAAGAGUGCUGCCGUGAACACUGGGAUACAGGUUACAAAACAUUGAGAUGGGAUUGAAGAAAGAGGACACUCCCAGAGGCGCUGGACUUGGACCUCUUGCAGCACUUGGACCUGAGAACGAGGAGUGUAUCCUGUGUUGGGUGUGACAUGAUGGUGGCGUCACUGUGAUGGGUGGGAACAUCCUGAUGGGUGGGAAAAUAUUAAAUAGAAGUGAAAAGAUGUA
This is a non-coding RNA of Odocoileus virginianus texanus, 235 nucleotides long. Lineage: Eukaryota; Metazoa; Chordata; Mammalia; Artiodactyla; Cervidae. The record is from RefSeq and is a predicted model, not a curated record.